AAUAAAACCAACACAGAAGCAAACUUUAGGCAGAAUAUUGGUCAGUUAAAAACAAAGCAAAAUAGAGCUACCAGAUAUACAGACAGGCUCAGUUCCACAUUCACUACUGCAUUUAUCAAGAGCAAGUCUUAACUGGCGGUUUUGUUCGACUUAGGAAAUUUGAAAAUCAGUGCAAGAAUUUUGCUAUGAAGCAGACAGAUGGACAGACACCUAGAAAAGAUACAGCCACGUGGAAUGGUAAAAAGGGGAAUGAUGUGGUUAAAUUGGGACAGUGAUUACAAACAGAAUACAGUACAGCACUGUUAAAUACAAUUUACCAAUUGUUAUUUUAGGUACUGCCAUAGUACUAUCUAGAACACAUUGCUGAAUAACUUAAUGUUCCAAUAUCACCAAUAAUGAUUAGGGAGUCGUUGGAGGAACAUAAAAAUUGCAUGGUAGAGAAUUUAUAUAUUGGAAGCGUUCAACCUAAGUGGGUUGUGCAAAUAGGUUUCAACAGAAUAAUAGGAUCAGGAAGGGCAAGCAGAACAACGUGUAAUUUGAAUUAAAAAAAAUGAAAUGUAAACAGUUAAAAUACUGUGAAAACAUAUCCCCAAAAGAUCAGAUUUCUCAU
Non-coding RNA from Pelobates cultripes (western spadefoot toad), 610 nucleotides. The record is from the annotation of a GenBank genome assembly. NCBI's taxonomy places the organism in Eukaryota, Metazoa, Chordata, Amphibia, Anura, Pelobatidae.